This 252-nucleotide ribosomal RNA is filed under the name uncultured bacterium. Its description in RNAcentral is "partial 16S ribosomal RNA". It matches the Rfam family "Bacterial small subunit ribosomal RNA", at positions 524 to 776 of the family's 1533-position model. The record is from RNAcentral.
UACGUAGGGGGCUAGCGUUAUCCGGAAUUACUGGGCGUAAAGGGUGCGUAGGUGGUUUCUUAAGUCAGAGGUGAAAGGCUACGGCUCAACCGUAGUAAGCCUUUGAAACUGGGGAACUUGAGUGCAGGAGAGGAGAGUGGAAUUCCUAGUGUAGCGGUGAAAUGCGCAGAUAUUAGGAGGAACACCAGUUGCGAAGGCGGCUCUCUGGACUGUAACUGACACUGAGGCACGAAAGCGUGGGGAGCAAACAGG